This 3004-nucleotide ribosomal RNA is filed under the name Salmonella enterica subsp. enterica serovar Typhimurium. Its description in RNAcentral is "bacterial LSU rRNA". It matches the Rfam family "Bacterial large subunit ribosomal RNA". The record is from RNAcentral. Lineage: Bacteria; Pseudomonadati; Pseudomonadota; Gammaproteobacteria; Enterobacterales; Enterobacteriaceae.
GGGUUGUGAGGUUAAGCGACUAAGCGUACACGGUGGAUGCCCUGGCAGUCAGAGGCGAUGAAGGACGUGCUAAUCUGCGAUAAGCGCCGGUAAGGUGAUAUGAACCGUUAUAACCGGCGAUUUCCGAAUGGGGAAACCCAGUGUGAUUCGUCACACUAUCAUUAACUGAAUCCAUAGGUUAAUGAGGCGAACCGGGGGAACUGAAACAUCUAAGUACCCCGAGGAAAAGAAAUCAACCGAGAUUCCCCCAGUAGCGGCGAGCGAACGGGGAGGAGCCCAGAGCCUGAAUCAGCAUGUGUGUUAGUGGAAGCGUCUGGAAAGGUGCGCGAUACAGGGUGACAGCCCCGUACACAAAAGCGCAUGUGCUGUGAGCUCGAUGAGUAGGGCGGGACACGUGGUAUCCUGUCUGAAUAUGGGGGGACCAUCCUCCAAGGCUAAAUACUCCUGACUGACCGAUAGUGAACCAGUACCGUGAGGGAAAGGCGAAAAGAACCCCGGCGAGGGGAGUGAAAAAGAACCUGAAACCGUGUACGUACAAGCAGUGGGAGCACAGGUUUACCUGUGUGACUGCGUACCUUUUGUAUAAUGGGUCAGCGACUUAUAUUCUGUAGCAAGGUUAACCGUAUAGGGGAGCCGUAGGGAAACCGAGUCUUAACCGGGCGUUAAGUUGCAGGGUAUAGACCCGAAACCCGGUGAUCUAGCCAUGGGCAGGUUGAAGGUUGGGUAACACUAACUGGAGGACCGAACCGACUAAUGUUGAAAAAUUAGCGGAUGACCUGUGGCUGGGGGUGAAAGGCCAAUCAAACCGGGAGAUAGCUGGUUCUCCCCGAAAGCUAUUUAGGUAGCGCCUCGUGAAUUCAUCUCCGGGGGUAGAGCACUGUUUCGGCUAGGGGGCCAUCCCGGCUUACCAACCCGAUGCAAACUGCGAAUACCGGAGAAUGUUAUCACGGGAGACACACGGCGGGUGCUAACGUCCGUCGUGAAGAGGGAAACAACCCAGACCGCCAGCUAAGGUCCCAAAGUCAUGGUUAAGUGGGAAACGAUGUGGGAAGGCCCAGACAGCCAGGAUGUUGGCUUAGAAGCAGCCAUCAUUUAAAGAAAGCGUAAUAGCUCACUGGUCGAGUCGGCCUGCGCGGAAGAUGUAACGGGGCUAAACCAUGCACCGAAGCUGCGGCAGCGAACGUAUCACCCAAGACAACUUUACGGAGUUGACGAUUGACGGAGCGAAGCGACGUCAAAGCGUUCAUUAAAGUCGAGUUGGCUUAGGGAUACGUUCGUUGGGUAGGGGAGCGUUCUGUAAGCCUGUGAAGGUGUGUCGUGAGGCAUGCUGGAGGUAUCAGAAGUGCGAAUGCUGACAUAAGUAACGAUAAAGCGGGUGAAAAGCCCGCUCGCCGGAAGACCAAGGGUUCCUGUCCAACGUUAAUCGGGGCAGGGUGAGUCGACCCCUAAGGCGAGGCCGAAAGGCGUAGUCGAUGGGAAACGGGUUAAUAUUCCCGUACUUGGUGUUACUGCGAAGGGGGGACGGAGAAGGCUAUGUUGGCCGGGCGACGGUUGUCCCGGUUUAAGCGUGUAGGUGUGUGUUCCAGGUAAAUCCGGUUCACUUUAACACUGAGGCGUGACGACGAGGCACUACGGUGCUGAAGCAACAAAUGCCCUGCUUCCAGGAAAAGCCUCUAAGCAUCAGGUAACAUCAAAUCGUACCCCAAACCGACACAGGUGGUCAGGUAGAGAAUACCAAGGCGCUUGAGAGAACUCGGGUGAAGGAACUAGGCAAAAUGGUGCCGUAACUUCGGGAGAAGGCACGCUGACACGUAGGUGAAGUGAUUUACUCAUGGAGCUGAAGUCAGUCGAAGAUACCAGCUGGCUGCAACUGUUUAUUAAAAACACAGCACUGUGCAAACACGAAAGUGGACGUAUACGGUGUGACGCCUGCCCGGUGCCGGAAGGUUAAUUGAUGGGGUCAGCGUAAGCGAAGCUCCUGAUCGAAGCCCCGGUAAACGGCGGCCGUAACUAUAACGGUCCUAAGGUAGCGAAAUUCCUUGUCGGGUAAGUUCCGACCUGCACGAAUGGCGUAAUGAUGGCCAGGCUGUCUCCACCCGAGACUCAGUGAAAUUGAACUCGCUGUGAAGAUGCAGUGUACCCGCGGCAAGACGGAAAGACCCCGUGAACCUUUACUAUAGCUUGACACUGAACAUUGAGCCUUGAUGUGUAGGAUAGGUGGGAGGCUUUGAAGUGUGGACGCCAGUCUGCAUGGAGCCGACCUUGAAAUACCACCCUUUAAUGUUUGAUGUUCUAACGUGGACCCGUAAUCCGGGUUGCGGACAGUGUCUGGUGGGUAGUUUGACUGGGGCGGUCUCCUCCUAAAGAGUAACGGAGGAGCACGAAGGUUGGCUAAUCCUGGUCGGACAUCAGGAGGUUAGUGCAAUGGCAUAAGCCAGCUUGACUGCGAGCGUGACGGCGCGAGCAGGUGCGAAAGCAGGUCAUAGUGAUCCGGUGGUUCUGAAUGGAAGGGCCAUCGCUCAACGGAUAAAAGGUACUCCGGGGAUAACAGGCUGAUACCGCCCAAGAGUUCAUAUCGACGGCGGUGUUUGGCACCUCGAUGUCGGCUCAUCACAUCCUGGGGCUGAAGUAGGUCCCAAGGGUAUGGCUGUUCGCCAUUUAAAGUGGUACGCGAGCUGGGUUUAGAACGUCGUGAGACAGUUCGGUCCCUAUCUGCCGUGGGCGCUGGAGAACUGAGGGGGGCUGCUCCUAGUACGAGAGGACCGGAGUGGACGCAUCACUGGUGUUCGGGUUGUCAUGCCAAUGGCACUGCCCGGUAGCUAAAUGCGGAAGAGAUAAGUGCUGAAAGCAUCUAAGCACGAAACUUGCCCCGAGAUGAGUUCUCCCUGAGACUUAGAGUCUCCUGAAGGAACGUUGAAGACGACCGUUGAUAGGCCGGGUGUGUAAGCGCAGCUGCGAGCUAACCGGUUAAUGAACCGUGAGGCUUAACCUUACAACGCCGAAG